Cicer arietinum (chickpea) is the source of this 82-nucleotide non-coding RNA. NCBI's taxonomy places the organism in Eukaryota, Viridiplantae, Streptophyta, Magnoliopsida, Fabales, Fabaceae. The record is from Rfam.
GGAUGGAGUGAUGAAUAUUUGUUUUCCUAUUGGUUUGAUUGCCAGAAUGAUGGCAUUUUGUAUUAGCUCUAUCUGACCAUUC